UCGUUCUAUCUCGUUUCUAGAUCGAAAUUGAUUCCGUUUGAUCCCGGAGAUUCUAGACUCGUAUAUCUACGUUUCCCUAUCUCGGUUUUGCAAAACGACCCGUCGACUGUUCGUACUUCAGAGGCGAACCAGAGUUAGAUUGCUUGUCAGGAUCACGUGGAUUUAGCAAGCAGUUUAUGAUUUGAGCUUUGGUCGAUCUCCGUUUCUUCAUUCUCGGGGGUUUUUAUUUUAUUUUCAGAAUAAAAGAGUCGAACUGUUUUAAACUCUUAGACCGCAGUA
This is a long non-coding RNA of Mercurialis annua (annual mercury), 279 nucleotides long. RefSeq lists it as uncharacterized. NCBI's taxonomy places the organism in Eukaryota, Viridiplantae, Streptophyta, Magnoliopsida, Malpighiales, Euphorbiaceae. The transcript has 3 exons. The record is from RefSeq and is a predicted model, not a curated record.